Molecule: transfer RNA, 69 nt
Filed under: Dahlica ochrostigma
Lineage: Eukaryota; Metazoa; Arthropoda; Insecta; Lepidoptera; Psychidae
Description: tRNA-Ala
Source: RNAcentral
AGGAUUAUAGUUUUAUAACAUUUGUAUUGCAAACAAAAAAUAUUAAUAUUAAUUUAUUAUUUAAUCUUA